AGAGUCAUUAACCAAUUGUUGAUCUGUUCACAGUGUUAUAUGAUCAUUUAAAUUUUGACGAUGACGAUACAAAAAUUGCUGCCAAACCUGCCAAAAAGUCCCGCCUCUCACCACACAUGUUGUGCCCCCUAAGUUCCCCGAUCAAGCACAAACGUGCUUUGCCUGGAUGAAGGCCUUGUAUCAGGUAUACUGGUAAUAAUAAUUUUACAUUCACCUCAGUCUGUUGUUGUUCCUCAUUAUUCAUGGAAGCUUGAUGACACGACAUCUUCAAUCUGCAUGAACUCUAGUUUGAUUAGAAACUUUGUGAACCGUCAGCAGAUCUGCUCAUGUCUCACCAAAACAACCACACUAAUCAUUUCAUCAUUUUCAUCCAUUAAGGUUGGAAAAACCAGCAGCCCUCCAGUGCUUCAGCCGUCCAACCAUCAACUGUUUCAGACAUCCAUCCUCCCACCACUUCAGCCCCACAGCUGUCCACCAGUGUGCCAACUUCUGACAUUUUACUAUCCUGGGGGGGGUCAUGGCCUCUACGCUGGAUUCCAAAAAAGAGACAAAAAACCCCCCGACCUCAACCCCCACUCUUAGUCAGACAUGUUUAUUUUUUUAUUUACAAUAAUAAAUAUUAUACUGUGUACAUUUAUUUUGUUUUACUUUUUUAUACUUAGUUUCCUUAUUUCCUAUAAUAUUUAUUAGUAGUUGUUGUUUGAUGUUAGUUCUUUUUAGCCCCUUUUACGUUAAAAUAGACGUAAAUGACCCAGAUGCUGAUAUUCUAAUAUAUAGACAGAUUUAUGAAUGAAUUAUUCUCAACAGAAGUUCAACGCUAUUGUGGUAGCAGUUUGACUGUUUUACUGUAAUCUGUCGUGCCUCACCCACUGUCCAUCCCA
Molecule: non-coding RNA, 881 nt
Organism: Oryzias latipes (Japanese medaka)
Lineage: Eukaryota; Metazoa; Chordata; Actinopteri; Beloniformes; Adrianichthyidae
Source: RefSeq, a predicted model, not a curated record